CUACGGGUUGCUGCAGUCGAGAAUAGUCUACAAUGGACGAAAGUCUGAUAGUACGACGCCGCGUGGAUGAAGAAGCAUUUCGGUGUGUAAAGUCCUUUUCUGUGUGAGCAAUGUUUUCCAGGUUAAUAGCUUGGAGAAAGCGAUAUUAACACAGGAAUAAGCUCCGGCUAACUCCGUGCCAGCAGCCGCGGUAACACGGGGGGAACAAGCGUUGUCCGGAAUUACUAGGCGUAAAGGGUAAGUAGGCGGAAUUGUAAGUCAGAUGUUAAAGGCACCGGCUCAACCGGUGUAUGGCAUUUGAUACUGUAAUUCUAGAGUAAGGUGGGGGAAGACGGAAUUCCUGGUGUAGCGGUGGAAUGCGCAGAUAUCAGGAGGAACACCAGAGGCGCAGGCGGUCUUCUAUACCAUUACUGACGCUCAAUUACGAAGGUGUGGGUAUCAAACAGGAUUAGAUACCCGGGUAGUC
RNAcentral lists this ribosomal RNA (466 nucleotides) under uncultured bacterium. RNAcentral describes it as "partial 16S ribosomal RNA". It matches the Rfam family "Bacterial small subunit ribosomal RNA", at positions 339 to 795 of the family's 1533-position model. The record is from RNAcentral.